Long non-coding RNA from Pieris brassicae (large cabbage white), 495 nucleotides. RefSeq lists it as uncharacterized. The record is from RefSeq and is a predicted model, not a curated record. Lineage: Eukaryota; Metazoa; Arthropoda; Insecta; Lepidoptera; Pieridae. The transcript has 2 exons.
UAAACAUGUGUGCAUUCUAUAUGGAUGCAGUCAGAUAUAUAAUCCACUCCUGUCCAUAUCGCGAUUUGAUCAGAAAGUCAAAAACGACUAGCCAGAAUGUGUUGUCGGAGACUAGGCGGAAAUUAUGAUACAUUUAUUUUCGUUUACAUUCGUCCAUCUGUCCAAAAAAUUGUGUAAAACUUUAGUACAGGAAACAAUUGAUAAUACAAUGAUGUAAUGACUAAGCCGUGACUCAUACAUUCGACGUAGUUUGUCCCUUGUGUUGUUAUUUGUGUUUCUUAUGGAAUGUUGCUGAGGCUAACCAUCAUGUGGUUCGUGUGUGUGGUAGCAAGAAUCCUUGAAACGACAAACUCGCCACCCUUAGAAGAGGUAUCCACGGUGACAAAGGAGAAAUGUGAUUUGGAGACGAAUAAUUUUUGCGGUGUCUUUAACAACACGAAUCCACAACAUCAGUUUUAUAAUCAGGGAUGAUUUAAUAAAAUGUAUUUUUUUUAA